UAGGGAAUCUUCCGCAAUGGGCGAAAGCCUGACGGAGCAACGCCGCGUGAGUGAUGAAGGUCUUCGGAUCGUAAAACUCUGUUAUUAGGGAAGAACAAAUGUGUAAGUAACUAUGCACGUCUUGACGGUACCUAAUCAGAAAGCCACGGCUAACUACGUGCCAGCAGCCGCGGUAAUACGUAGGUGGCAAGCGUUAUCCGGAAUUAUUGGGCGUAAAGCGCGCGUAGGCGGUUUUUUAAGUCUGAUGUGAAAGCCCACGGCUCAACCGUGGAGGGUCAUUGGAAACUGGAAAACUUGAGUGCAGAAGAGGAAAGUGGAAUUCCAUGUGUAGCGGUGAAGUGCGCAGAGAUAUGGAGGACCACCAGUGGCGAGGGCGACUUUCUGGUCUGUAACUGACGCUGAUGUGCGAAAGCGUGGGAAUCAAACAGG
This 429-nucleotide ribosomal RNA is filed under the name Bacteroidota bacterium. Its description in RNAcentral is "Bacteroidetes bacterium partial 16S ribosomal RNA". It matches the Rfam family "Bacterial small subunit ribosomal RNA", at positions 355 to 776 of the family's 1533-position model. The record is from RNAcentral. Lineage: Bacteria; Pseudomonadati; Bacteroidota.